UACGUAGGGUGCAAGCGUUAAUCGGAAUUACUGGGCGUAAAGCGUGCGCAGGCGGCUUUGCAAGACAGAUGUGAAAUCCCCGGGCUUAACCUGGGAACUGCAUUUGUGACUGCACAGCUGGAGUGCGGCAGAGGGGGAUGGAAUUCCGCGUGUAGCAGUGAAAUGCGUAGAUAUGCGGAGGAACACCGAUGGCGAAGGCAAUCCCCUGGGCCUGCACUGACGCUCAUGCACGAAAGCGUGGGGAGCAAACAGG
Molecule: ribosomal RNA, 253 nt
Filed under: uncultured bacterium
Lineage: Bacteria
Description: partial 16S ribosomal RNA
Rfam family: Bacterial small subunit ribosomal RNA
Source: RNAcentral